RNAcentral lists this ribosomal RNA (505 nucleotides) under uncultured bacterium. RNAcentral's name for it is "partial 16S ribosomal RNA". It matches the Rfam family "Bacterial small subunit ribosomal RNA", at positions 28 to 507 of the family's 1533-position model. The record is from RNAcentral.
GACGAACGCUGGCGGCGUGCCUAAUACAUGCAAGUAGAACGCACAGUUUAUACCGUAGCUUGCUACACCAUAGACUGUGAGUUGCGAACGGGUGAGUAACGCGUAGGUAACCUGCCUGGUAGCGGGGGAUAACUAUUGGAAACGAUAGCUAAUACCGCAUAAUAUUAAUUAUUGCAUGAUAAUUAAUUGAAAGGUGCAAUUGCACCACUACCAGAUGGACCUGCGUUGUAUUAGCUAGUAGGUGAGGUAACGGCUCACCUAGGCGACGAUACAUAGCCGACCUGAGAGGGUGAUCGGCCACACUGGGACUGAGACACGGCCCAGACUCCUACGGGAGGCAGCAGUAGGGAACCUUCGGCAAUGGACGAAAGUCUGACCGAGCAACGCCGCGUGAGUGAAGAAGGUUUUCGGAUCGUAAAGCUCUGUUGUAAGAGAAGAACGGGGGUGAGAGUGGAAAGUUCACACUGUGACGGUAUCUUACCAGAAAGGGACGGCUAACUACGUG